CCCUUAGAUGUUCUGGGCCGCACGCGCGCUACACUGACACGUUCAUCAAGUCUAUAACCUUGACCGAGAGGUCUGGGUAAUCUUUUAAAAACGUGUCGUGCUGGGGAUAGACUAUUGCAAUUAUUGGUCUUCAACGAGGAAUUCCUAGUAGACGUAGUUCAUCAGACUGCAUCGAUUACGUCCCUGCCCUUUGUACACACCGCCCGUCGCUCCUACCGAUUGAAUGCUCAGGUGAGCCAUUCGGACUUUCAUCAUGCUGGUUUCCAGUUUUGAUGAAGGAAAGUCUUGCGAACCUUAUCAUUUAGAGGAAGGAGAAGUCGUAACA
Molecule: ribosomal RNA, 325 nt
Filed under: uncultured eukaryote
Lineage: Eukaryota
Description: partial 18S ribosomal RNA
Rfam family: Eukaryotic small subunit ribosomal RNA
Source: RNAcentral